AAGGGCCGGGCAAGACCGGUGCCAGCCGCCGCGGUAACACCGGCGGCCCGAGUGGUGAUCGUGAUUAUUGGGUCUAAAGGGUCCGUAGCCGGUUUGGUCAGUCCUCCGGGAAAUCUGAUGGCUCAACCAUUAGGCUUUCGGGGGAUACUGCCAGGCUUGGAACCGGGAGAGGUAAGAGGUACUACAGGGGUAGGAGUGAAAUCUUGUAAUCCCUGUGAGACCACCUGUGGCGAAGGCGUCUUACCAGAACGGGUUCGACGGUGAGGGACGAAAGCUGGGGGCACGAACCGGAUUAGAUACCCGGGUAGUCCCAGCCGUAAACGAUGCUCGCUAGGUGUCAGGCAUGGCGCGACCGUGUCUGGUGCCGCAGGGAAGCCGUGAAGCGAGCCACCUGGGAAGUACGGCCGCAAGGCUGAAACUUAAAGGAAUUGGCGGGGGAGCACAACAACGGGUGGAGCCUGCGGUUUAAUUGGACUCAACGCCGGACAACUCACCGGGGACGACAGCAAUAUGUAGGCCAGGCUGAAGACCUUGCCUGAAUCGCUGAGAGGAGGUGCAUGGCCGUCGCCAGUUCGUACUGUGAAGCAUCCUGUUAAGUCAGGCAACGAGCGAGACCCGUGCCCACUGUUACCAGCAUGUCCUCCGGGACGAUGGGUACUCUGUGGGGACCGCCGAUGUUAAAUCGGAGGAAGGUGCGGGCCACGGUAGGUCAGUAUGCCCCGAAUUUCCCGGGCUACACGCGGGCUACAAUGAAUGGGACAAUGGGUCCCUACCCUGAAAAGGGCUGGUAAUCUCCCAAACCCAUCCGUAGUUCGGAUCGAGGGCUGUAACUCGCCCUCGUGAAGCUGGAAUCCGUAGUAAUCGCGUUUCAAUAUAGCGCGGUGAAUACGUCCCUGCUCCUUGCACACACCGCCCGUCAAACCACCCGAGUGAGGUAUGGGUGAGGGCACGAACUCUGUGUCGUGUUCGAACCUGUGCUUUGCAAGGGGGGUUAAGUCGUAACAAGGUAGCCGUAGGGGAAUCUGCGGCUGGAUCACCUCCAAGGGCGA
RNAcentral lists this ribosomal RNA (1049 nucleotides) under uncultured bacterium. RNAcentral describes it as "bacterial SSU rRNA". It matches the Rfam family "Archaeal small subunit ribosomal RNA", at positions 437 to 1478 of the family's 1478-position model. The record is from RNAcentral.